GACGAACGCUGGCGGCGUGCUUAACACAUGCAAGUCGAACGGACAGGCCCGGCUUUUGUGGGGUGCUCGUGUGGCGAACGCGUGAGUAAAACGUGAGUAAACUGUCCUUGACUUUGUGAUAACUUCAGGAAACUCGGGCUAAUACCGGAUAGGAGCUCCUGCUGCAUAGUGUGGGAUGGAAAGAUUCGGCGGUAGGGGAUGGACUCGCGGCUUAUCCGCUUGUUGGUCGGGUAGUGGUUUACCAGGGCUACGACGGGUAGCCGGCAUGGGAGGGUGACCGGGCACAUUGCGACUGAGAUACGGCCCAGAAGCCUACGGUAGGCAGCAGUGGGGAACAUGGCACAAUGGGCGGAAGCGUGAUGUGGCAACGCCGCGAGCGUGAUGACGUCUUACGAGUGGUAAACCGCUUUGUACUGUGACGAGGAGAGAGUGACGGUAAUGGGUAAGGAAGCACCGGCUAACUACGUG
RNAcentral lists this ribosomal RNA (468 nucleotides) under uncultured bacterium. RNAcentral describes it as "partial 16S ribosomal RNA". It matches the Rfam family "Bacterial small subunit ribosomal RNA", at positions 28 to 507 of the family's 1533-position model. The record is from RNAcentral.